GCGUGGGUGGCCCAGCUUGGUCAAAGGCGCAGCGUUGAGGUCGCUGUCCUGCAGAGGUUCGCAGGUUCAAAUCCUGCCCCACGCA
Euryarchaeota archaeon RBG_16_68_12 is the source of this 85-nucleotide non-coding RNA. NCBI's taxonomy places the organism in Archaea, Methanobacteriati, Methanobacteriota. The record is from Rfam.